Molecule: transfer RNA, 74 nt
Filed under: Adineta vaga
Lineage: Eukaryota; Metazoa; Rotifera; Eurotatoria; Adinetida; Adinetidae
Also listed under: 7 other names
Description: tRNA-Arg for anticodon UCU
Rfam family: tRNA
About the family: Transfer RNA (tRNA) molecules are approximately 80 nucleotides in length. Their secondary structure includes four short double-helical elements and three loops (D, anti-codon, and T loops).
Source: RNAcentral
GCCUCUGUGGCGAAGCGGAUUAACGCGUUGGACUUCUAAUCCAAAGAUCGUGGGUUCGAUCCCCACCAGAGGUG